CCUAGCCCUUCAGAGGGGGACAACAGUUGGAAACGACUGCUAAUACCGCAUACGAUCCAAUCUCGGCAUCGGGACUGGAUGAAAGGUGGCCUCUAUUUAUAAGCUAUCACUGAAGGAGGGGAUUGCGUCUGAUUAGCUAGUUGGAGGGGUAACGGCCCACCAAGGCGAUGAUCAGUAGCCGGUCUGAGAGGAUGAACGGCCACAUUGGGACUGAGACACGGCCCAG
This 226-nucleotide ribosomal RNA is filed under the name uncultured bacterium. RNAcentral describes it as "partial 16S ribosomal RNA". It matches the Rfam family "Bacterial small subunit ribosomal RNA", at positions 124 to 334 of the family's 1533-position model. The record is from RNAcentral.